This 476-nucleotide ribosomal RNA is filed under the name uncultured bacterium. RNAcentral's name for it is "bacterial SSU rRNA". It matches the Rfam family "Bacterial small subunit ribosomal RNA", at positions 365 to 832 of the family's 1533-position model. The record is from RNAcentral.
UUCGCAAUGCCCGAAAGGGUGACAAUGCGACGCCGCGUGGGCGAUGAAGGCCUUCGGGUUGUAAAGCCCUGUCAGCUUGGAUGAAAGCCCUUGACAUAAUAUGUCAAGGGUCUGACGGUACAAGCAGAGGAAGCCACGGCUAACUCUGUGCCAGCAGCCGCGGUAAUACAGAGGCGGCAAGCGUUGUUCGGAAUUAUUGGGCGUAAAGAGCACGUAGGCGGCCUUGCAAGUCAGUUGUGAAAGCCUUCCGCUCAACGGAAGAAUGCCAGCUGAUACUACAGGGCUUGAGUACGGGAGGGGAGAGUGGAACUUCUGGUGGAGCGGUGAAAUGCGUAGAUAUCAGAAGGAACGCCGGCGGCGAAAGCGACUCUCUGGCCCGAAACUGACGCUGAGUGUGCGAAAGCUAGGGGAGCAAACGGGAUUAGAUACCCCGGUAGUCCUAGCCGUAAACGAUGGGCACUAAGUAGAGGGGUUUU